GCUGGGUCUAUGGACCGCGUGGAUAUUUUUCAUAUGUUUCUCGCGGUACAUGAUACUAUUUCAUGGAUCGAAACACGAUCGAAUGACGUGGGUGGCUCCCGAUCUUGAUCCGACAGUCCAGGGGGUUAUUUGGUUUUGUUUAGGAUUCCUAAUUCUUCUCUAAUCAGGUUUAAGCCCUUUAAAUAGGGCUGAUCGGUGAAACAGAGAGUAGGUGGUCUUCUAGUUUUGCCGCAAACUGUACAGAGUCGUACAGAACUUGAGAGAAGAG
This 268-nucleotide long non-coding RNA is filed under the name Elaeis guineensis (African oil palm). RNAcentral describes it as "long non-coding RNA (EGUI_LNC009681)". The record is from RNAcentral. Lineage: Eukaryota; Viridiplantae; Streptophyta; Magnoliopsida; Arecales; Arecaceae.